This 253-nucleotide ribosomal RNA is filed under the name uncultured bacterium. RNAcentral describes it as "partial 16S ribosomal RNA". It matches the Rfam family "Bacterial small subunit ribosomal RNA", at positions 524 to 776 of the family's 1533-position model. The record is from RNAcentral.
UACGUAGGGUGCGAGCGUUAAUCGGAAUUACUGGGCGUAAAGUGUGCGCAGGCGGCAGAGCAAGUCGAGUGUGAAAGCCCCGGGCUUAACUUGGGAAUUGCGAUGGAGACUGCAAGGCUAGAAUCUGGCAGAGGGGGGUAGAAUUCCACGUGUAGCAGUGAAAUGCGUAGAGAUGUGGAGGAACACCGAUGGCGAAGGCAGCCCCCUGGGUCAAGAUUGACGCUCAUGCACGAAAGCGUGGGGAGCAGACAGG